Cucurbita pepo subsp. pepo (vegetable marrow) is the source of this 416-nucleotide non-coding RNA. Lineage: Eukaryota; Viridiplantae; Streptophyta; Magnoliopsida; Cucurbitales; Cucurbitaceae. The record is from RefSeq and is a predicted model, not a curated record.
AGGAGGAAAAAUUCUGAGAAUUCGAGUUUUGGUUGCUUAAGAUUGGUUGUCAAUCGAGGGUAAAGGAAGAGAGGUUGUUGCUGAGGAAUUAUUUGAGGAAGGGGAUACGGCCACGAGCUGAAUGGGACGGUGAUUCGAAGGAAGGAGAGGUUGAAGACGAGCGCGUGAAGGACACGCGAGGCGCGUGGGAGGCCGCGAGUGGAAGUGCGACUGUGCGCGGAUCAGGCGCGUGAGAAACGAACCCCGAUCUUGUGUUGGCGCGUGAAGGCGCGUGAUCAGGUCUAAUACGAAGGAAUUGUGUUGGAAUACUAUUAAACGUACAUUCAAGGGGGAAAAGGAGUUCGAAACCAAGUAAGUAGUAUAUCGAUCUUUGAACUAGUUCUUAACUUGUUUUACAACAUGUGAGUAUGUUGUUU